Molecule: non-coding RNA, 1223 nt
Organism: Nothobranchius furzeri (turquoise killifish)
Lineage: Eukaryota; Metazoa; Chordata; Actinopteri; Cyprinodontiformes; Nothobranchiidae
Source: RefSeq, a predicted model, not a curated record
UUCAUAUCAAGAGACCAUCUUUUUAAUUUCAGAAUACUAUUUUAUAUUAUUGCUCUCAAAACUUGUAAUGCUUGCGCUCAAAAUGUCUGCUCUCUUUCAAAUUCACUCUGUUCUCCUUCAAAUCUUUGUUUUUGCGCUCAGAUUUAACCUUCUUACACUGGUAUUGUCUUCUCAUGUGACAACUUUUUCUCUACACGGAUCAAAACUCCUCCCACAAGUCUGUCCCCUGCUCUCACGGAUCUUGUCUGCUCUCGCUCAAAACUUAGAAGUACAAUCUCCUAGCAACCGCUCAGCCAAUAGAAAGACUUGUGGGACUGGGCGGGAACAAACCUCUUUGGGGUGCGCUCGUUUUGCGCUCUGUGGAUUUUCCUGUGUGGCUGCCGCAUCUGCGCACUAACAGCCUGGCUAAUACCCGCUCUGAUCUGGAGCGAGAGUUUCACCUGCACCAGCAAAAUGGACCAGAACCAACAAGACGCUCAAACUGGUUCCAUCCGAGAAGUUACGAGAAACCUUAUGGAUUUACUGAAUGCUCAUCUACAAGCAGAGGGCCCGCAACAAACACCAACUGUGCCACAGCGCACAACACCAGCGACAACACCUUAACAGACUAUCCCUCGGUCUACAGUUCAUCAAGAAAUGUCAAGGAUUUCCAAGAGCCAGACAUCGACUGGGAUGUUGCUGCAGAGUACAGCCCAGAUGUGGACGGUGCUGCUGUGGUCCCGGAGUUUGACAGUCCCCUCAUUGAAGAGCAGCAUGCUGAACUGCAUCCAUGCUUUCGUUCUUUUUUAAACACAGAAACAGUUUUGUUUACCUGUUAGUAGCUACAGUUUCGCCGACGGCUGCCGGCUUCUUCAGGCUGACGCUGUUGGUGGCGCGUCACUUCCUUCUCCGUUUAUCUGCGGGCAGUUGUCUCUGCUGCCCGCAGAUAAACGGAGAAGGAAGUGACGCGCCACCAACAGCGUCAGCCUGAAGAAGCCGGCAGCCGUCGGCGAAACUGUAGCUACUAACAGGUAAACAAAACUGUUUCUGUGUUUAAAAAAAGAACGAAAGCAUGGAUUUAGAAAGACACAGCAAGAACACACCUAAGAUGCUGAACUGCAGUUGCUACUGGCACAAAAUUGGGAGCGUUCAAACACUAAGGAACUUUUAUCUAUUGUGCAGAGAAUAUGUUAAUGCUGCUUUGUCAGAUUAAUGUGUACUUGAAAUAAAAAAUCAAGAGAUCA